Molecule: ribosomal RNA, 253 nt
Filed under: uncultured bacterium
Lineage: Bacteria
Description: partial 16S ribosomal RNA
Rfam family: Bacterial small subunit ribosomal RNA
Source: RNAcentral
UACGGGGGGGGCAAGCGUUGUUCGGAACUACUGGGCGUAAAGGGCUCGUAGGUGGCCAACUAAGUCAGACGUGAAAUCCCCAGGCUCAACUUGGGAACUGCGUCUGAUACUGGAUGGCUUGAAUUCGGGAGAGGGAUGCAGAAUUCCAGGUGUAGCGGUGAAAUGCGUAGAUAUCUGGAGGAAUACCGGUGGCGAAGGCGGCAUCCUGGACCGAGAUUGACACUGAUGAGCGAAAGCUAGGGGAGCAAACGGG